Varroa destructor (honeybee mite) is the source of this 2856-nucleotide non-coding RNA. NCBI's taxonomy places the organism in Eukaryota, Metazoa, Arthropoda, Arachnida, Mesostigmata, Varroidae. The record is from RefSeq and is a predicted model, not a curated record.
CUGUACAGAAAGUGGUGCAAUGUCCCUUAGAUACCAUUGUCCGAUGCACUACAAUCGCUAGAUAGUAUUUUCAACAAGGCACAACGAGCUUAAAGUUUUUAAGUGUUGAGUCCAUACGACAGUAUGACACAGCGUACCUUUUCAAACACGAAUGAACUAAAUUCGACAUCUUUAAGCACUGCAGUAAACCAUUAAAGUUCGCACACGUGAAGUACGCCUUACGAGGGCAAUUUGCACUUGCACAGAGAGAAUGGUGGUAUGACUUAGAUACCACGAUUGUCCGGAAAUCCGUUAGAUGCGGACACUAUAGUCCAUAGAAUAGAAUUUUGCAAUAGGUAAAAAAUUAUUUUCCACCAUUUCAUAAGCCAUUGAUGAUUACUUCCGCGCGGAUCUGCCGCAGAGAACUUGCCUUUUCUGUCGACCCAAACAUACAGGAAAUACCGGGAAGAGGAACGGUCAUAACGAAGUUUCUAUCGAUGAUAGUGGAGACAGCAUCACCCUCUAGUAAUGAGUACCAUAUGAGCAUUGUCGGGACAUCAAAUCUUUGGAAUCAACUGUGCAUCAUCCACUUACGUCUCGUUGAUUUUGGUGGAAAACGAGGUGAAUGUUAAACUAAACGGCGCCCAGAGGUACAUAUUACUUUACCACCAUACGUAUCGAGCCAAUCGAAGAAGUAGAACAUAAAAAGAAAGGCGUUCUGUAACCAUCUAUAACUGUUUCUCUAUUCUAUUGAGAACGCAAACAAGGCAUAUGACGAUCUGGGCCCAAUUGUAUCGAUAGCCUUGGAUCUUUUUGUACGCCAAACAGAAACGCAAAACGGCAGGACUACGGUUAUUAGUAAAAAGCAACUACAGAUUCUAAUCUAGAUCAAGAAGUCUAUGUGAACAGGCACUACAAAAUUUAGCUAAAUUCAUCGUAGAGUUUGCACCGUUUUUGAUGCCAUAAUGAAAGUCCAGCAAAGCGAAGCAGACGAGUGCUCUGACUGUAUAAUUUCGAAGUGUGAAAUUUUCGAGGGCCCAUAACUAUACUCUUUUGAACUACAACUUGAUAGAAUUAAGCAACGGAAAGACGUAAGUAACGACGAUUCGACUAACGUCAAAAAUAAUCAAAGCCACUUUUUGUAGCCCCUACUCUUCCCGUUGUUCGUGGACAGUUUUUUGUGGACGGUGAAAAUUCAAGGUAAGGAUAUUUAUAUCUAUAUGUUGCUUCGAUACGACAGCGGUAAACGUUAAUACCCUGUAAUGGUAUUUGUACUCCUUUACUGUGCGGUGUCAAAACAACCGUAUCAAGUAAGAGAUAUUAUCUGAAAAUGCUUAGAGAAAUCAGUAAUGCGAACAUACUUCAGCAACACAAAUCUGCAAACGCUUUCUAGCAGUGCUUAAAUACCGUAUGAAAAUGUAUAGUUAGGAAAUUAAGCGUCUCACGGUUUGCGGAAUAAUGAAGAUUAAAAGAUUCCAGAGCCAAAAGGUAUGAAGUAUUCUAAGUCAAGACUCAACCAAAGACCCGAAACCUAAACUUUGCACGCAUCGAGAAGUACCUGGGAACCUAUAAUCUAGCAAACAUGCGAGGCAUCUUAAUACGAAGAAUGGCAUGGCAACAGUCUACCUUGGAGAUUACGGAAGGCCCCACAGAGUGGCGCAAUGCAUUUAUUCCUGUUGGAAAGGUUCUAUUUGCGCGUGCUUCCGCCUCGAAGGUCCUCGCGAUAAGAUUUCCGUCAAAUAGUACCCCUGCCUUCUUGACCUACUUCAUGACCCUUGCAGCUAAGGUUUACUCUCAUCACCAGCAACGAACUCCUCAAAAUAAUACUACACAUAGCAGUAAUCAGUGGAUGAACCAACUUUACAACGUGAAGUGGGCACGAAUUCGCAAACAGAGAAGCCCUAGUCGGGAGAGCAAACAACUAACGGAACGAUUUGUGUCACCGGUUUUUCGGACGAAAACUACAUGGAAUCAACACAAAAAAAGAACGAUUGCUACGAUGUGUACCCGAUCGAUAACGACCUGAAAACCGCAUCACUAUAGAUCCAACCGUUCCACAGAGCCUUACUGGAACUGAUGGGCCCACUGAUAGUAACCGCGGAUACAAGCUUUGUAGGGAAUUGCGGAGCGACUUCAUACACAGUAUAACGCUUGAUCAAUUCCCGUGUCUAGUGAAGUGCGGCAGUAGCCAGCUGACAACUCGCGUUGCACCAUGGGCGUCGUUGGCGCAGCUUCGGCGAACUGUGACACUGAUCGAUUGAUUGAUCGUUUAGCGGUCGGUGGAGCGGCGGCAGAUUCGUAAGGGCACUAUUAGUGGUAACAAUUUAGCCGUAAAAGCUAGUUAUUUAGUUAAUCGAUAUACAAACAUAUAUCAUAUGUUUAUCCGAAAUCAGCAUGAUGAUUAAGAUCGCUAGGUAUUGAUUUUAAACCUACAGAAGAUUACCGUUGGAUCAAAGAGAAGAUAAAGGUUACAUGAAGGAGACAAAAACAGCGUUAGAUAAAGAUCGCACGUAUAUAUAUAUGCCUCUAGAGGUAACAUUUAAUAAUGUGCUCUGUUAAGGAGUGGUCCAACAUAAAUCAAUUAGAUGACUUCAAAACUGCGGGAAAAUAUGGCCUAAGUGGCUAUGUAUGUAGCGGCUCACGUAUUUUGAAAAGAGAAACAACUUCUUUGGCGUAUAAUAGGUAAUUUAAUAAGGCCAACAUAAAAGAGCAAUUAUAAGCCCACUUUAAGCCACCCAAGCCCAUAUUCUAAAGAGAAUUAAUUAGAAAAAUUGAGUACACCUGGUUUGCCAAAAUAGCGAAUGAACUCGGAAAAGUGCGUGGGUUUACUACAAACAUCUAGCUGUAGUAAAAAAAAAAAAAAAAAAGCGCCAAAUU